Molecule: long non-coding RNA, 3306 nt
Filed under: Marmota monax (woodchuck)
Lineage: Eukaryota; Metazoa; Chordata; Mammalia; Rodentia; Sciuridae
Source: RNAcentral
CACAGAACAACGCAAAUGGAGGAAGGACAGGGCUGGGGACGGGGAAACUCCUGGCUUUGGUUUCAGAGCCAGGCCAUCAACAAGAGGAAACAACUCUUCUACGUCACUUUGGGCUCGUUGUAGGGAAGCUGGACUCUCUUCUUUCUGCUUGGUCCCAAGGGGCUCACAUGCCAAGAAUCCCAAGUUCUGGGUUUGCUCUCAGAACCUUUGGAGCUUUGAUUUUAAACGAAUGCUACUUUGCAGGCCAAAUACCACAGGCCUGCGCUGGGGCCCCAAGAAGACAAGAUGUGCACCUGGAGAUAAGACAGGCUCCCAGCGCCACCCAAGCAGUGGGGAAACAAAGAAGAACAGGAAACAGUGGAGAAGGGGAAUGUUUCUAGGGUCUUCCUUGGCUGGGGCAGCACUGUCAAUGUGAGCACAAGAACCAGAGUGACAGAGGGUACCAAAUCCACACCAAUGACUCCUUCCCUUCUCCACUAAGCAGAAAGAACUAUUUUUUUCUCCUUCACUAUUUUCUCUUCGUCUGUUUAGUCUAAAAGGCUGAACUGUUGUACAAAGAAAGUUCUCUCCAAGAAUGAGUUUUCCAGAGAAAGCUUUCAGACAAGGGGAGUGUGAGCCAUGCUUCUGCAGCCUGCAGAAUGGGCCGUGUGUUUAACCGAGGGGCUGGGGCAUGGCCCAACUCCCCGAAGGAUUUAUCCCUUCUGGAAAAUCCAAACAUACAAAUGUGCCUGCUGAAAAAGCAAGGGCAGACUUGGGCACUCAGCUCCCACGCAGGGCUCCCCGCACACCACUCCCCUCCCCUGGAGGCGUUCUCAAUUUUAACCUUUAUAGGCUUCAACCAAACAGAUCAAAGAGAGGGAUAAGCAGUUUUUCUGGGGAUUGGCAGGUCUCAUUUCUCUCCUCAGCUUCACAAAGAGCUCUGGGAGAGAGGGAACAGGGUGCAAAGAGGCUACUCUAGCUCCCGGGAUUUCAGAACUGGACAUCAUCAUCAGAAUUAAAAACACAACUCUGAGGCCCCACAAAAUCGGUGCAACCCUCAGAAGACUCAAAUCCCAAGUGAUUUUGAUCUAGGAACCAUUUGUUAAUGGAGGUUUUAUUCCCAGGUCCAGCAACAAAAAGCUAGGCCAGUUCUGCAUGCCUUGGAAAUUCCAGCCCCCACACUCGCUCCUCCCAGCCUGAAAUGUGCCAUGGAGACGCGCCUGGCUCUGAGACGUGUGUAAGAGUUGAUGGAGAUGGCAGACAGUGAAAUAAGUUAAAUGCUCAUACACAUUCCAAAAUAACCAAGGGGAAGGCUGCUCCCUAGACCAUGUGUGGUGCUGAGGGUUUGAAGUGCCUGACUUUACUUGACCCCCAAAGAGUCUUGCAAAGUCAGGGCUUUUACUUACAUUGCUGUGAUAUCAAGGAAACUGAGACUCUGAAUGGCAGUGCUUGGCAAACCUGUCUCCCUCCACAGCCCAAGCUCCUCCUACCUCCCACACCAUUUUUUUUGACAAAGGCAAUGGGGUAAGGUUUCAGGAAGACUCCAGAAAAUUUCACAGUCUUUGAUCCAGUGCUACAAGUAUGGACUUAACCUAAGGAAAUAAUCACAAAGUGGACAGAGAGAUGUUUGUGAGGAUGUGCAGUAACACUAUUGAUCAUGGCAGAACUUUCAGAGGAAUAAAAUCAAUAUAUGGUACUGAUAAAAUAUGGUGUCAUAUCCACACAAAAGACUACUAUGCCGUCAUUAAAAACACCAGGGUAGGAGGAUAUUCAAAGAUGUGGGAAAAUAUAUGUACAAUGUUAAGUGAAAAACUGAAUGUGUAACCAAAUAUGCGCCAAAAGUAAAGGUUAUAUUCACUUGGGCAUAUCAGCACAAUGGAACAUGAUGGAGCUUUGGAAAAGAAAGAGUUAGUUCUACAUGAAUACCAACUUACAAGGAUUUUUUCUAGUUAAUUUAUGUUUUUCCUAAAAUGAUAUAUUUUUUCUAAAUAAAAGAAAGAGUAAAAAUAAUUUUCAACAAUUAUGUACAGGGCACUCACUAUUUAGAAACUGUCUCGUAUGUGAGCUUUUUAAUAUGUGAAUGGCACUGAGGAGCCAAGUUGCCGGUGCUUAUCAACAUACAAGCCAUCAAGCCAGAAAUCUGGUUUAUUUGUUCAUGUGCUUUUGGUUCACUGUGCAUUGCACGCCAACAGGGUCUGACUACGCAACAGGUCAGAUUUUGUAACCAGGGAGGUCCAGGGGAAGCAGGGAUAAGAUCCAAAUAGAGACAGAGGGAGAAGCAAACAGAUUUCUAGGACUGUGCUGAGGUUUGGGGGCCUCAGGAAGAGGAAGAGAAUUGUUCCUUCCUCAUAAACAGCAGUGCCAAUGCAUGUGGCCGGCUUUGCACACACAGUCUGUUCCUUACUCCCUUCAAAAUAAAAUAAAACCAAUAACUCCUCAGCCAGAGGAGCUAAGAGCAGACCUGAGCAGCAGGCACUGCUCUCACUAACAUCCCUGGCUUUAAUUAUUGUAGAUCGAGUUGAGCGGGUUACCCAGGACCCCAGGCACUGCUGCCCCCACCACUCCUGCCCUUCACUAUAAUAAGUCUUAAUUUCUCUUUCGAUCAAUAACUCCAUGCUUGAAUUCUAAAAUAUAUCAUCUGCUCUCCAGCUCCUUUGAUAAAUGGCUUGAAUCAAUGUCAGGCACAUUAUUCUUACAGCUCUGGCUUAUUGUAUCAAAGACAUCUGGUUUUCCAAGAAGCUUCUAGAACACUGGCUAUUUAAGAACUCUGAAGGCUAGAACUAAGACAGUUUGUUAACUCCUAGGUGGUCACUGCUAGUCUGUGAACUAUAGGUUACUGGUCUUUGAAGACAUAAAUACAAAAGUUGAGAGUAAGUGAUCUAGAAACUUCCAUUGCAAUUUGACAUUGCCACAUUCCUGAACAAGGUAUUGAUCACCCAGGCACCUCUUUCUAUGACCCACAUGCACAGUAUUGUAACUCUUUUUUCUCAUGAUGUGCAUUCUGAUUAUAUUUUUUGAAAUAUAAUUUUAUUCUUGUUUAAUAUAAUAAUUAAACAUUUGAGCUUCUAUCGUGUAUGUCUGUAUUUCAUUUUUCUGGGAAGCCAUUUUUACUGUAUUUUACAAAUAUAUAAAUCUACGGGUUAGAGAUUUUAGAGUGACUACAGAUGAUGAUAAGGUACUGUGUAUUUCAAUAAAAGUUAUAAGAAAGGGGUUUGAAUGUUUUCACCAUGAAAAAAUGAUAAAUGUUUGAGGAGAUAUAUUUAGCUUGAUUUUGAAUAUCACACAUGUGCACAUGUAUUGAAACAUCACAUUACCCCAUACAUAUGU